Molecule: ribosomal RNA, 373 nt
Filed under: uncultured organism
Description: partial 16S ribosomal RNA
Rfam family: Bacterial small subunit ribosomal RNA
Source: RNAcentral
GUAGGUGGCAAGCGUUGUCCGGAAUUAUUGGGCGUAAAGCGCGCGCAGGCGGUUCUUUAAGUCUGAUGUGAAAGCCCACGGCUCAACCGUGGAGGGUCAUUGGAAACUGGAGAACUUGAGUACAGAAGAGGAAAGCGGAAUUCCACGUGUAGCGGUGAAAUGCGUAGAGAUGUGGAGGAACACCAGUGGCGAAGGCGGCUUUCUGGUCUGUAACUGACGCUGAGGCGCGAAAGCGUGGGGAGCAAACAGGAUUAGAUACCCUGGUAGUCCACGCCGUAAACGAUGAGUGCUAAGUGUUAGGGGGGUCUUCCCGCCCCUUAGUGCUGCAGCUGACGCAUUAAGCACUCCGCCUGGGAGUACGGCCGCAAGGCUG